AGGUGCAUGGCCGUCGUCAGUUCGUACUGUGAAGCAUCCUGUUAAGUCAGGCAACGAGCGAGACCCACGCCAACAGUUGCCAGCUCGUCCUCCGGGAUGGUGGGGACACUGUUGGGACCGCCUCUGCUAAAGAGGAGGAAGGAAUGGGCAACGGUAGGUCAGCAUGCCCCGAAUUAUCUGGGCUACACGCGGGCUACAAUGGGUGGGACAAUGGGUAUCGACACCGAAAGGUGAAGGCAAUCUCCUAAACCCAUCCGUAGUUCGGAUUGUGGGCUGCAACUCGCCCACAUGAAGCUGGAAUCUGUAGUAAUCGUGUCUCAAAAUGGCACGGUGAAUAUGUCCCUGCUCCUU
This 351-nucleotide ribosomal RNA is filed under the name uncultured Methanomicrobiales archaeon. RNAcentral describes it as "bacterial SSU rRNA". It matches the Rfam family "Archaeal small subunit ribosomal RNA", at positions 988 to 1338 of the family's 1478-position model. Lineage: Archaea; Methanobacteriati; Methanobacteriota; Methanomicrobia; Methanomicrobiales. The record is from RNAcentral.